RNAcentral lists this ribosomal RNA (216 nucleotides) under Glomeromycotina sp. RNAcentral describes it as "partial small subunit ribosomal RNA". The stretch from base 44 to 216 matches the Rfam family "Eukaryotic small subunit ribosomal RNA", at positions 690 to 864 of the family's 1831-position model. Lineage: Eukaryota; Fungi; Glomeromycota. The record is from RNAcentral.
GGGUCAGUAGGUUGGUCGUGCCACCGGUACGUACUGGUCUCACUGAUUCCUCCUUCCUGAAGAACCGUAAUGCCAUUAAUUUGGUGUUGCGGGGAAACAGGACUGUUACUUUGAAAAAAUUAGAGUGUUUAAAGCAAGCUAACGCUUGAAUACAUUAGCAUGGAAUAAUGAAAUAGGACGAUCGAUCCUAUUUUGUCGGUUCCUAGGAUUGACGUA